This 579-nucleotide ribosomal RNA is filed under the name uncultured bacterium. RNAcentral's name for it is "partial 16S ribosomal RNA". It matches the Rfam family "Bacterial small subunit ribosomal RNA", at positions 355 to 932 of the family's 1533-position model. The record is from RNAcentral.
UGGGGAAUUUUGGACAAUGGGCGAAGCCUGAUCCGGCAAUGCCGCGUGUGUGAAGAAGGCCUUCGGGUUGUAAAGCACUUUUGUCCGGAAAGAAAUCCUUGGCUCUAAUACAGUCGGGGGAUGACGGUACCGGAAGAAUAAGCACCGGCUAACUACGUGCCAGCAGCCGCGGUAAUACGUAGGGUGCAAGCGUUAAUCGGAAUUACUGGGCGUAAAGCGUGCGCAGGCGGUUUGCUAAGACCGAUGUGAAAUCCCCGGGCUCAACCUGGGAACUGCAUUGGUGACUGGCAGGCUAGAGUAUGGCAGAGGGGGGUAGAAUUCCACGUGUAGCAGUGAAAUGCGUAGAGAUGUGGAGGAAUACCGAUGGCGAAGGCAGCCCCCUGGGCCAAUACUGACGCUCAUGCACGAAAGCGUGGGGAGCAAACAGGAUUAGAUACCCUGGUAGUCCACGCCCUAAAACGAUGUCAACUAGUUGUUGGGGAUUCAUUUCCUUAGUAACGUAGCUAACGCGUGAAGUUGACCGCCUGGGGAGUACGGUCGCAAGAUUAAAACUCAAAGGAAUUGACGGGGUCAUAGCUG